ACAACUCUCAACAACGGAUAUCUUGGCUCCCGUAACGAUGAAGAACGCAGCGAAAUGCGAUACGUAGUGUGAAUUGCAGAAUUCCGUGAACCAUCGAAUCUUUGAACGUAAAUUGCGCUCGAGGCCUCGGCCAAGAGCAUGUCUGCCUCAGCGUCG
This 156-nucleotide ribosomal RNA is filed under the name Trebouxia jamesii. RNAcentral describes it as "5.8S ribosomal RNA". It matches the Rfam family "5.8S ribosomal RNA". From Rfam's summary of the family: 5.8S ribosomal RNA (5.8S rRNA) is a component of the large subunit of the eukaryotic ribosome. Lineage: Eukaryota; Viridiplantae; Chlorophyta; Trebouxiophyceae; Trebouxiales; Trebouxiaceae. The record is from RNAcentral.